RNAcentral lists this ribosomal RNA (253 nucleotides) under uncultured bacterium. RNAcentral's name for it is "partial 16S ribosomal RNA". It matches the Rfam family "Bacterial small subunit ribosomal RNA", at positions 524 to 776 of the family's 1533-position model. The record is from RNAcentral.
UACGGGGGGGGUAAGCGUUGUUCGGAAUUACUGGGCGUAAAGGGCUCGUAGGCGGCCAACUAAGUCAUACGUGAAAUCCCUCAGCUUAACUGGGGAAUUGCGUGUGAUACUGGAUGGCUUGGAUUUGGGAGAGGGAUGCGGAAUUCCAGGUGUAGCGGUGAAAUGCGUAGAUAUCUGGAGGAACACCGAUGGCGAAGGCAAUCCCCUGGACCUGUACUGACGCUCAUGCACGAAAGCGUGGGGAGCAAACAGG